AUUGAACGCUGGCGGCAUGCUUUACACAUGCAAGUCGAACGGCAGCGCGGGCUUCGGCCUGGCGGCGAGUGGCGAACGGGUGAGUAAUGCAUCGGAACGUGCCCAGUAGUGGGGGAUAGCCCGGCGAAAGCCGGAUUAAUACCGCAUACGACCUGAGGGUGAAAGCGGGGGACCGAAAGGCCUCGCGCUAUUGGAGCGGCCGAUGUCGGAUUAGCUAGUUGGUGGGGUAAAGGCUUACCAAGGCGACGAUCCGUAGCUGGUCUGAGAGGACGACCAGCCAACUUGGACUUGGGCACGGCCCCGACCUCCUAGGGGAGGCAGAGUUGGGAAAUUUUGACCAAUGGGGCAACCCUGAUCCAGCCAUGCCGCGUGCGGGAAGAAGGCCUUCGGGUUGUAAACCGCUUUUGUUCGGGAAGAAAUCCUCUGGGCUAAUACCCCGGGGGGAUGACGGUACCGGAAGAAUAAGCACCGGCUAACUACGUG
Molecule: ribosomal RNA, 483 nt
Filed under: uncultured bacterium
Lineage: Bacteria
Description: partial 16S ribosomal RNA
Rfam family: Bacterial small subunit ribosomal RNA
Source: RNAcentral